This is a long non-coding RNA of Phyllostomus discolor (pale spear-nosed bat), 1031 nucleotides long. RefSeq lists it as uncharacterized. The record is from RefSeq and is a predicted model, not a curated record. The transcript has 2 exons. Lineage: Eukaryota; Metazoa; Chordata; Mammalia; Chiroptera; Phyllostomidae.
AGUCGGGGUGUGCGCGUGGACCCACCCACUCAGGCUUCGCAAUAAACUAUGCGAUGCAAUUCCAGUGAAUGGCACCAUAUAGACCAGGACGCGAAUCAGCACACAAGGAUCCUCGGGAAUGGAUUGAGAAGGAAAUUCAGGCAACUGCCACAUCCAUCAAAGUCGAAGGAACGCGCGUGGGUCCAAAAAGUUGUUCGGAGUAAAGCUUUGCCCAUCAAUAUCAUCGAUUAGUUAUCGCACAGCAUUUUUAUUUGGGAAGAACUUAAAUAGAUCGUCGUGUUAAGUGCGUGUUCUUGCUACAAAUAGUAGCAUUUAGCAUUUUUCUUGACCACGUUUACAAAAAGAGGGAAUAGAGACUUCUGUAAUUAAAGGGAAAAGGAAAAUGAAAGGAACUGAAAAUACUGAACUGUGAGUCUGGGUGGCUUUAAGUUUGAAAACAUAAAAUUAUUAGGACUGCCAAAAAGCAUUUCUGAGAAACCAUGUUACAGAUUGUGAGAAAAUAAAUGCUGGAAGUAGGCACUGAACACCUCCUUUCAAGAAUCCCAGAAAUAGUUGCUGAGGUUUUUCUUUCUUUUUUUUUUCUUUUUCCUUUUCUUUUUUUCCCCUGCUGAGGAUAGAAAAUGACCAUUGACAAUAAAAUCAUCAACUAUCUCUUAAGCACCACUCUGUAUGUCUGGGAAAUUUUGGAUAAUGUCUUUCCUUUAGAUGUUUCAAUGAGAUAGGAAUUCAUUCACGUUGAUACCCAUGUAACUUGUACAAUACUGUAUUAACAUUUUAUAAUGAAUUACUUUUCAAGUUUAUUUUGUACAUCAUAUUUGUUAGACAAUUGUAGCCAGUAGGGUUGUUCUCAAGUUAUGAAAAAAAUGAUAGUCGGUGCCAUAGUGCAAACAAACUAAUCCAAUAUUCAUUGGAGAGCAAAUCAUUUGGCAAUGACUUUACCUCAAUUUUAAGGGGAAAAAUGCACUUUCUGUGAGUCAUAUAUUGGUAAAUCUUUUUUUUAAACUUGUCAGUUAAAUAAAAGUCAUAUUUGG